This 394-nucleotide ribosomal RNA is filed under the name uncultured bacterium. RNAcentral's name for it is "bacterial SSU rRNA". It matches the Rfam family "Bacterial small subunit ribosomal RNA", at positions 28 to 428 of the family's 1533-position model. The record is from RNAcentral.
GACGAACGCUGGCGGCGUGCUUAACACAUGCAAGUCGAGCGGUAAGGCCCUUCGGGUACGACGAGCGGCGAACGGGUGAGUAACACGUGGGUGACCUGCCCUUAGCUCUGGGAUAAGCCUGGGAAACUGGGUCUAAUACCGGAUAUGACCUCAUGACGCAUGUUGUGGGGUGGAAAGCCUUGUGCGGCUAGGGAUGGGCCCGCGGCCUAUCAGCUUGUUGGUGGGGUGAUGGCCACCAAGGCGACGACGGGUAGCCGGCCUGAGAGGGCGACCGGCCACACUGGGACUGAGACACGGCCCAGACUCCUACGGGAGGGCAGCAGGUGGGGAAUCUUGCGCAAUGGGCGAAAGCCUGACGCAGCGACGCCGCGUGAGGGAUGACGGCCUGGUGUAA